Molecule: ribosomal RNA, 253 nt
Filed under: uncultured bacterium
Lineage: Bacteria
Description: partial 16S ribosomal RNA
Rfam family: Bacterial small subunit ribosomal RNA
Source: RNAcentral
UACAGAGGGUGCGAGCGUUAAUCGGAAUUACUGGGCGUAAAGCGUGCGUAGACGGUUAUUUAAGUCGGAUGUGAAAGCCCCGGGCUCAACCUGGGAAUUGCAUUCGAUACUGGAUAGCUAGAGUUCGGCAGAGGGAAGCGGAAUUUCCGGUGUAGCGGUGAAAUGCGUAGAUAUCGGAAGGAACAUCAGUGGCGAAAGCGGCUUCCUGGACCAGAACUGACGAUCAGGCACGAAAGCGUGGGGAGCAAACAGG